Molecule: ribosomal RNA, 492 nt
Filed under: uncultured bacterium
Lineage: Bacteria
Description: partial 16S ribosomal RNA
Rfam family: Bacterial small subunit ribosomal RNA
Source: RNAcentral
AGUGAACGCUGGCGGUAGGCCUAACACAUGCAAGUCGAACGGCAGCACAGUAAGAGCUUGCUCUUACGGGUGGCGAGUGGCGGACGGGUGAGGAAUACAUCGGAAUCUACUUUUUCGUGGGGGAUAACGUAGGGAAACUGACGCUAAUACCGCAUACGACCUACGGGUGAAAGCAGAGGAUCUUCGGACCUUGCGCGAUUGAAUGAGCCGAUGUCGGAUUAGCUAGUUGGCGGGGUAACGGCCCACCAAGGCGACGAUCCGUAGCUGGUCUGAGAGGAUGAUCGGCCACACUGGAACUGAGACACGGUCCAGACUCCUACGGGAGGCAGCAGUGGGGAAUAUUGGACAAUGGGCGCAAGCCUGAUCCAGCCAUACCGCGUGGGUGAAGAAGGCCUUCGGGUUGUAAAGCCCUUUUGUUGGGAAAGAAAAGCAGCAGGUUAAUACCCCGCUGUUCUGACGGUACCCAAAGAAUAAGCACCGGCUAACUUCGUG